Molecule: ribosomal RNA, 119 nt
Filed under: Pteropus alecto (black flying fox)
Lineage: Eukaryota; Metazoa; Chordata; Mammalia; Chiroptera; Pteropodidae
Source: RNAcentral
GUCUACGGCCAUGGCACCCUGAACAAGCCCGAUCCCGUCUGAUCUCAGAAGCUAAGCAAGGCUGGGUCUAUUUAGUACUUGGAUGGGAGACCACCUAGGAAGACCAGGUGCUGUAGGCA